UACGAUAUGCUCGGAUGUACAUCCUUCAAAUCCUCGGAGGUUAUCUGAUGUCGGACAAGUUAUGAAACCUCGUACAUCUGAGGUGGUUGCUGAAACUCAUCGAUUUUAGAGUAGUUGGCAAACUCAGUUGGGGUUUGUCAUGUUGUCGACAUUGUACCGAAAUAUGUGUCGGGCGACGCAACCAAAUAAAACUAAAAUCGGAGGUAACCUCUCAC
RNAcentral lists this long non-coding RNA (215 nucleotides) under Gossypium barbadense (sea-island cotton). RNAcentral describes it as "long non-coding RNA (GBAR_LNC016481)". The record is from RNAcentral. Lineage: Eukaryota; Viridiplantae; Streptophyta; Magnoliopsida; Malvales; Malvaceae.